RNAcentral lists this ribosomal RNA (1407 nucleotides) under Cophixalus hosmeri (Hosmer's frog). RNAcentral's name for it is "partial 16S ribosomal RNA". It matches the Rfam family "Bacterial large subunit ribosomal RNA", at positions 157 to 2597 of the family's 2925-position model. Lineage: Eukaryota; Metazoa; Chordata; Amphibia; Anura; Microhylidae. The record is from RNAcentral.
GCCUAAAACCCAGCCCUACUAACCCAAAUGAACUACUUUCAUAAUAAUUAUAUAAUAAAACAUUUUUACACCUAGUAAAGGCGAUUAAAAAGUAAAUAGGAGCUCUAACACUAGUACCGCAAGGGAAGCCUGAAAUAAAAAUGAAAUAACUUUAAAGCACAACAAAGUAGGGGCUUACCCCCGUACCUUUUGCAUCAUGGUCUAACUAGUACCACCAAGCAAAACGAACUUUAAGUUUGACCCCCCGAAACUAGGCGAGCUACUUCGAAACAGCCCCAAGAGCCAACCCGUCCCUGUUGCAAUAGGGUGGGAAGAUUUCCAAGUAGAAGUGAUAAACCUACCGCGCCCAGAAAUAGCUGGUUAUUCAGGAAAUGGAUAUAAGUCCAACUUUAAACUUUUUACUUACACCAAAUACCACCAUAAGUUUAAAUUUUAUUCAAAUAAGGUACAGCCUAUUUGAAACAGGAUACAACCUAUAAAGCCGGGUAAUGUCAUAAUUAUAUAACCAAGUGGGCUUAAAACCAGCCAUCUUUCAAAAAGCGUCUCAGCUUAAUUAUACUUUCUACGAAUUUCAACCCAAACUCAAAACCCACCUCUAAUACUGAAUGACCCCAUACUACCCUAUGGAAGACCUUAUGUUAGAACUAGUAACAAGAAUAUAUUCUCCAAAACGUAAGUGUAAGCCAGAAUGAACCCAUCACCGGCAUCUACCGCCAAUGAACCAACAGUAACAACCCCCCCCCAAGAAAAUUUUACUUAUUAGAGCGUUAACCUUACACUAGAACUUUUCUGGAAAGAUUAAAAAAGACGGAAGGAACUCGGCAAAUACUAACCCCGCCUGUUUACCAAAAACAUCGCCUUCUGUAAAAAAUAGAAGGUCUAGCCUGCCCAGUGAUAAUCUUAAACGGCCGCGGUAUUUUAACCGUGCAAAGGUAGCAUAACCACUUGUUCUUUAAAUAAGGACUAGUAUGAACGGCAUCACGAGGGUUUUACUGUCUCCCCUCUUUAAUCAGUGAAACUAAUCUCCCCGUGAAGAAGCGGGAAUAACCCUAUAAGACGAGAAGACCCCAUGGAGCUUAAAACAAGUACCACUUGCACUAGACUAUAUCACUUAAACUCACCAAGUUUGUCUUACUAGUUUUUGGUUGGGGUGACCGCGGAGUAAAACAAAACCUCCACAACGAAAGAAACCMCCAUCUAAUUACAGAGCUACAACUCGCAAAAUCAAUAUAUUGACCUAAAUUGACCCAAUACUUUGAGCAAUGAACCAAGUUACCCUGGGGAUAACAGCGCAAUCCAUUUCAAGAGCCCCUAUCGACAAAUGGGUUUACGACCUCGAUGUUGGAUCAGGGUCUCCCAGUGGUGCAGCCACUACUAAAGGUUCGUUUGUUCAACGAUUAAAACCCU